AAAAAGUAGCUUAAAAAAAGCAUCCGGCUUACAUCCAGAAAAUAUUGUCGCCAAUCUUUUUGAGCCAA
This 68-nucleotide transfer RNA is filed under the name Trilepida macrolepis (big-scaled blind snake). RNAcentral's name for it is "tRNA-Val". It matches the Rfam family "tRNA". Rfam says of the family: Transfer RNA (tRNA) molecules are approximately 80 nucleotides in length. Their secondary structure includes four short double-helical elements and three loops (D, anti-codon, and T loops). Further hydrogen bonds mediate the characteristic L-shaped molecular structure. tRNAs have two regions of fundamental functional importance: the anti-codon, which is responsible for specific mRNA codon recognition, and the 3' end, to which the tRNAs corresponding amino acid is attached (by aminoacyl-tRNA synthetases). tRNAs cope with the degeneracy of the genetic code in two manners: having more than one tRNA (with a specific anti-codon) for a particular amino acid; and 'wobble' base-pairing, i.e. permitting non-standard base-pairing at the 3rd anti-codon position. Lineage: Eukaryota; Metazoa; Chordata; Lepidosauria; Squamata; Leptotyphlopidae. The record is from RNAcentral.